Mesocricetus auratus (golden hamster) is the source of this 6264-nucleotide long non-coding RNA. RefSeq lists it as uncharacterized. The transcript has 2 exons. NCBI's taxonomy places the organism in Eukaryota, Metazoa, Chordata, Mammalia, Rodentia, Cricetidae. The record is from RefSeq and is a predicted model, not a curated record.
AGCUUAAUUUACAAUAUAUAUACACACACACACACACACACAUUUAAAGAAAGAGUAAAAUGAAUAAACACCAUAACAUAAAGUGGACCCUUAGCAAAUCUGUAACUCUGGUAUUUGGUCACCAUGGGCUUUCCAAACAAUGGAAAGAAAGUAAAAAUCAAAUACCUCCAACACAAAUGUAAAGGUACACAGGUAACUCAAGAUGGUAGGUGCUGCCUACUGAGAAACUGCCACACUAAUGUGAUUUGAGAAGGCCAGCAUAGUCUCCUGGGUUUUUUAUUCUGUCACUAACCAGUUGGGCUCAGCCCAGGAUAAGAAAUACCUAUCUUCAAGUGGAUCCUUUAUAAAGAUUAUCCCAUGAAACAAAUGGUAGAGCAACCUCCAAUUCCAGUCUGAAGAGCUUCAGCAAACUGAAGGCUGUUAAUUGUGUACAGCAAUUUCUCUCCCAGCAAUCUAGUGUAAGAAUGGUUAUAUAGGAGCUACAGAAGGCUCAGCAUUUAAGAACAUAUCGCUCUUGAAGAUGACUAGAGUUUAAUUCCUGGCACUAACAUCAGACAGCUCACAACUGCCUGUAACUUCAGUUCUAGGGAGACCCAAGGCCUCUGUAGGUACCUGCAUACAUAGACACAUACAUACAUGUAAUUAAAACAAAACUAACUUUUAAAGAUGACAGUGUCACAAGCAACUGAAGAAAAGCAGAUCUCGGGGAUAGGGUGGGGGUGUGUAGCACAUGUAUGUACAGAAGCCAGAGGUCAACACUGAAUGUUAUUGAUUUCCACCUUUGUUUGGAUUCAGGGUCUCUCAAUGACUAUGGAAAUCACUGACUGGAUAGACUGACUGACCAGCAAGCUUUGGUGAUCCAUCUGUCUUCAUCUCUAGUGCUAGGAAUUACAGGCAUGAGUAACAACACCCAGCUUUUACAUAGGUGCUGGAGAUAGGAACUUACAACUUCAUUCUAGUACAGCAGGCACUUUACAUAUUGUGCCAUCUCCCCAGCCCACAACUAUGGAUUAAGAUGCUACUACUAAGCUGAAAUGCAGUUGGACCUUGAGUUUGCAUCUAUACCUGUGAUUACUCCACUUUAGUUCCAGCACUUACAACUAAGGACAGCCUGGCAAUAUGACAGGGAAACUCCACACUAUGAUAGUCAUAUAUGUACUGUAUUUACUGUGGUAGAACAGGUUACAAACAUACUUCUUGUUCCCCUGUGGAUUUUACAUUGUCCUAUUCCUACAAUGGGAAACAAAACUGAAAUCCAUUGGUUCUAAUCUCCCCAGAGCCAUGUGGCACUUCAAGCAUGGUAUGGGCCCUUACUCUGUUCUUCUCCAUCCCUGUUGUACUUUUUUGUUUGUUUUUGUUUUUCGAGACAGGGUUUCUCUGUGUAAUAGUUCUGGCUGUCCUGGAACUCACUUUGUGGACUAGGCUGGCCUCAAACUCACUGGGAUCCACCUGCCUAUCUCCCAAGUGCUGGGAUUAAAGGCAUGCGCCACCACUGCCCAGCCCUACUGUAUUCUUAAGAACACAGCACUGCUAUCUUUGACUUCUUUUUGUUGCCUACUUUGGGACCUGGUUCUUACGAUUCCACCAUUAAGAACUGACUCAAUGACUGGUUCUUGUGGAUGCGGGAUAAUACCUGAACCCUCAAAUGUAUGGCUACAGGAACUGAGAGGAGGGUUUCAUUCCUUCUGUGGCUACUCCCACUUGGGGACCUUCUUUAGAAUUCGAAGGCUGUAGCAAAAGAAGGAAGUGUAGGGUCACAGAUGAGGCCCAGAAUUGAGAAGUGAUAUGGAAUGUCUUUCUGUACGCUGUGAAUGUUGCUUUUAUUGGUUGAUGAAUACAGCUGUUUGACCAAUGGCCAGGCAAAAUAUAGGUAGGUGCGAAAGUUAAACAGUUACUGAGAGAAAGAAGGUGCAGUCAGGGAGACACCAUGUAGCCACCAAGUGGUAUAGAUUUCAGAACAUUACCGAUAAGCUACAGCCACGUGUUGAUACACAGAUUAUUAAAAAUUGAUUAAUAAUUUGUAAGAGAGCUAGCCAAUAUAAGUCUGAGUCAUUGGCCAAACAAUUAUAUCUAACUAUUAGCCUCUGAGUGAUUAUUUCAUAAGUGGCUGCGGGACCUAUGAGCGGGAGAGAAGCUGGUCCAGGGGAGCCAAACAGGACAGAGUAAAACAUUCAACAACAGAGAAGCACCAUGUUCCUGGUAGCUCUUUGGUAGCAGAGCUGGAAUGACUUGGUCUCAGCUUUACUCUAAAGCUAGUGUUACCCACCCUCAGUUCCUCUUGCCCUGUUUUCUGAUUUACCUAGAUAAGGGGCUUCCAUACAUACCAUGGAGACUGACCAAGCCCAGCAGCAUCAGCUCUGGAUCACCUGGCUGUCCCAGAAGGCAAAGCAUAGUGAAGCUUGCGCACUUCUUCAGCCUGCAGAACUGGCAGCGAUUUCUGUGAUGCUUGUUGAUGAUGCAGUCUUGGCUGCUCCGGCAGCUAUAGGUCAGAUUCUUCCUCACGCUCCUUUUGAAGAAACCUUUGCAGCCUUCACAACUGACAGCCCCAUAGUGACGGCCUGAAGGGAAGUGAGUGGGCACAUGAUCUGGUUCAUCACAAGCAGAGGUGACCUGCCCAGCCCUAUUCCCAUUUGGAGUGCACCCUUAUCAGAAGCUGCCACUGCAAGGGUAGUAGCCCAACAAUGUCUAGCUCAUGUGUCCAAAUUUCUACAAUAACCUUGUAAGGUCACAGUGGAACUCCAAAGUUCAUACAUGAUAUGACUGCCCUUGGCACACAAACAUCCCAGCACAAACAGCAGCUCAGGCAACACUGCUCACAUGACACCUCAGCUCACUCUUCCUAGCUGACAAAGCUAUUGUAUAUUGACAGAAGCUUACAGCUAAGACUAUCUGUGAUGAGGCUUUUCCUUGAAGCUCAGAAGAGCCCUGAUCAACAGGAAAAACAGGCACUCUUUAGCCAUUUCUGUUCCUGCUUCAUGUAUUCCAGAUUUGCAAAGUGUGUCUCCUUGCUGAACAAGCAUAGCACUCAAACACUGCAAUGAGAAAAUAUCAUUUUUGGAGAGUAUAGCAGAUGCUUAGGAUAGACUGGAGAAAGGCAAGCAGGACCAGUGGCAGCACUGUCUACCUGUUUCCAAGGGAAGACAGGGUUUCCAAGUGGUAGGAUGGACUGGCUUUACCAAGACAAACAAAGGGUAGAAUCAGAGGCAGGCACCAGUGGCAGAGAAAUGGGACAACCAUGUUAGAGGAGAAAUUUGAAGCUUAAGACAAAAUGAAAUUCAGGAAAAUAAAACAUCAAGACUUCCAGUGGUGGAACAAAGCUGCCUCAGAACUCAGAUUCCCUGAGCUGAGCUUCUCAUUUCUUACUGCCUGUAGCUCCCCAAUUAACACACACACACAGAGCAUUGGGUCUUUACUCAGGAUACACCCACAUGUGAACCCUUCCCAAGGGGGACUACAUGGUUCCACUAAGCUUACACACAGGGUACAGUGAAAUGAAAAAAGUGAGAUAGUCUGGAUGAGGGGAAUUAUACACAUAAUACACCUUGGAAGACACAAACAAGAUAAAAUAAAGUUUUACUUUCUUAAUAGCAUAUAAAUACUUGGAAACAAAUCACAGAGUUUCUUGACUUUUCCUGUCAGUUUGAAAACUCUGACAAACUACUUUAUCAUGUGAGGUUCCAUUCUUUUUUCUCAACUACCAACUUCCCUAACCUAUAAAAGGUCAUGCUGUUGCUCCAUGAUAUGCAUCAGAAGCUGGAGUCACAUACCAGAGGCUUUGUCACCACAGACCACACAGUACUCCACCACCUGGGGCCGCUGGACGUCUGCCUUCCCCAGCAAACGCUCCACAGAAGCAGAAUCCGUGACGAUCUAAAAUGUCAGCAAACGAACACCACUGAUUAACAUAUAAAUAAUAAGCACAGUAACAUCUAGUUGUACAUUCUCAGUCUUGGGUAUCUAAACAAAAGAACACUCUGGGCAGAACUGGGAUUACACUCUGACAGCUUCAUUCAGGUAAUUCGGCUUCUCCACUGGCCUUCACAUGUCAGUGACUGUUCUCCUAUCCUGUAAGCAUCACUAAGACUGGAAGCAACAUGGGGAUCACAUAUGAGUUCUCUAAGGUAAAGACAGGUUAAGUUCUUCAGCUACAUUUCUCAUCCUAUCAAACAAUAUGGAAAUGUGCAACCUGGUGUUUGUCAGAGCUCUAUCCAGGCUUUCCUGACUAGAUCUGUUGUUGAGGCACCUGGUGAUGGAAGAACUAGUACAGCUGACAGCAGAAGCCUGCUAUUUCCUAUCACUUGUAGGUAAACAAUGCUAUCCAUCUAGGAGGAAAAAAAUAAGUGAUAGCAACCUGAGAAAGUUUAAAGAACAGUUAUUUUUAAAAUGUAUUUAAUUUGAACACACAAUAAACCUUCAAAUGAAUUUCAUAUGGUGGGACCAUAUUGAGAAAUCAGGCAAAAAUCACCUGUGAAAUGUGACAUAAACAGUCAGUCUUUCACAAACUAGUGCUUUUAACAAGUUGGAUAGUUUAAUACCAAAGGAUCAAAACACACUUUAGGAGAGGGAGGAUGAGAAAGACAAUGUUUGCUAGCUCCAUAAAUACAAAAACACAUAAAAAAUUUAAACAAAUAGAAUGAAGAGCUCAAGCCAGGCUUUGGUCACCUACAUGAGACAGAAGUUAAGUAUUCAGGUGGAAUCUCCACCUCACUUCUGCACGAGCAGGAAAGCCCCAUUCCUGUCUCUCUCUCCAAACCUCACCCUCCCAGAAAGUCUCCAAAAAAACCAAUUCUGCAUUCUUGGCCACUACUUCAACUUCCUCCCCCUUUUGCUGCCAGCAGUCCAAGUUCCUGCCCGAACAUUCAGCUUUUGACCAUACUUGGGCACAAACCCAGCUUGUGUGGUAGACAGGUCAUCACCCCUUGCCUACAACCUAUAAAGUCUCCCUGCUUUCAUUUGUGGAUGAUGCUUCUCCAGCCUUGAUCUCUGGGACUGCAGAACUCACCUGGGAGUUGCUUUGCUCAAAUAAACCUGUUAUUAUAUUUUUUUCAAUUUGGCUUGAUCUGGCUUACUUAAUCAGAGUAAAAACCUGUAUCGGGAGAAACAGCAGGUGUUCUUGCUGAUAGUGGUCAGUUCUAGAGGGUGCCUUAAAGAUACCAUAGGCUAAUGUUUUCCACCAUGUGAUUUUUUUUUUUUUUUUGGUUUUUUGAGACAGGGCUUCUCUGUAUUGUUUUGGAGGCUGUCCUGGAACUCGCUCUGCAGACCAAGCUGGUCUUGAACUCACAGAGAUCCGCCUGCCUCUGCCUCCCGAGUGCUGGGAUUAAAGGCGUGCACCACCAAUGCCCGGCUCACCAUGUGAUCUUUUAAGUAUAAAUCUCCACUGAUCCUCACUAUCACCUUGCCUAUUCCAGUGUCUUUUCCUUGGCUUACUGUUCUUGCUGUGGCCACUCAAUUUACUGGUUUCUACUUUAGUCAUCUAAGGCAGCAAUCUCACCAUGCUUGUAAAUCUUUAAAGACCCUCAGAGGGGUGGAUAUUGCCUCCAAGACAGGGCAAAACCAAGCUGAGAAGUUCAAGUAUCAAGUAUGGAAACAACCAACUAUCAAUAGGCCUUACCUGGAUCCUGCCAGGGACAAGGUUGUCUGAGGUGGUGAAUAUGAGCUGCUUGGCACUGGAUGUCUCUGGAGACGCCAGGAUCACCUUCCCAGUUCCAGCUCCAUCUGGGCUGGUCAGGAUGAACUGCUGUUUGGAAGAUCCGGAGGCGUCCACUGCGGUGACUAUCUGGAUCUUCUGUCCUGUCUGCUGGUCUGUUACAAUCUAGAAGAUACACAACACAACGGAAGCCCCUUUGCAUGGCACGUCUUUAGAUCUGUGCACUUACACUUACUUGCAGGAGGUGAUCACUAUAAUCAAUGCUGGUUUAAGAUGGUUUACCAGUUGUGAUGGCUAAUCUUCACUGUCAACCUGACUGGAGUUAGAAUCACUAUGGAAACACACUGCUACGUGUGUCUAUGGGAGUCUUUCCAGAAAGAUUUGACCAUGAAGGGAAGACUGAUCCCCUGAAGUAAGUGGUGCUAUUCCAUGAACUGGAACCCUGGACUGAAUAAAAUAAAAAGAAAAUGAGCUGAGUACCAGGAAUCAGUCUGUUCUGCUUCUGACUAUGGAUGCCAUGUGACCAGCUAUCUUACAAUUUUGCUUUCGUAACUUUUCUACUAUGAUGACUGUGUACCCUAAAUCUGAACCAAAAUAAAAGCCCUUCUUUUUGUAAA